UCGUGCUACACGGGGAGUUAGCGGUGCCCUGUACCCGCAAUCCGCUACAGCGGGGUGGAGUUCCCCUACUGAGGUCUGCGGCUUUUGGGUGUCGGUCUACCUGCAUUGGCGUUGAGGGUUGGGUCCUGCGCGGCAGGGUACCAUGAACCCCGUCAGGUCCGGAAGGAAGCAGCGGUUAGUGGCCAUCCCUGGGUGCCGUAGGGGCGCCUGAUCUGAGCCAUCCUGUGGGAAAGACGACCUGCGGCGGGAACGAAGGGGGGUGCACGA
Molecule: signal recognition particle RNA, 267 nt
Filed under: Dehalococcoidia bacterium
Lineage: Bacteria; Bacillati; Chloroflexota; Dehalococcoidia
Description: signal recognition particle sRNA large type
Rfam family: Bacterial large signal recognition particle RNA
About the family: The signal recognition particle (SRP) is a universally conserved ribonucleoprotein involved in the co-translational targeting of proteins to membranes. Archaeal SRP consists of a 7S RNA and homologues of the eukaryotic SRP19 and SRP54 proteins.
Source: RNAcentral